CGGGGCGUAGCGCAGCCUGGUAGCGCGCCUGUUUUGGGAGCAGGAUGUCGGAGGUUCAAAUCCUCUCGCCCCGACCA
RNAcentral lists this transfer RNA (77 nucleotides) under Pseudomonadota bacterium. Its description in RNAcentral is "Proteobacteria bacterium (activated sludge metagenome) tRNA-Pro". It matches the Rfam family "tRNA". From Rfam's summary of the family: Transfer RNA (tRNA) molecules are approximately 80 nucleotides in length. Lineage: Bacteria; Pseudomonadati; Pseudomonadota. The record is from RNAcentral.